RNAcentral lists this ribosomal RNA (309 nucleotides) under uncultured bacterium. Its description in RNAcentral is "partial 16S ribosomal RNA". It matches the Rfam family "Bacterial small subunit ribosomal RNA", at positions 504 to 807 of the family's 1533-position model. The record is from RNAcentral.
AGAGACAGCAGUCGCCGCGGUAAUACGAAGGGUGCAAGCGUUAAUCGGAAUUACUGGGCGUAAAGCGCGCGUAGGUGGUUUGGUAAGAUGGAUGUGAAAUCCCCGGGCUCAACCUGGGAACUGCAUCCAUAACUGCCUGACUAGAGUACGGUAGAGGGUGGUGGAAUUUCCUGUGUAGCGGUGAAAUGCGUAGAUAUAGGAAGGAACACCAGUGGCGAAGGCGACCACCUGGACUGAUACUGACACUGAGGUGCGAAAGCGUGGGGAGCAAACAGGAUUAGAUACCCCUGUAGUCCCUGUCUCUUAUAC